This 1951-nucleotide long non-coding RNA is filed under the name Gossypium raimondii (Peruvian cotton). RNAcentral describes it as "long non-coding RNA (GRAI_LNC006459)". Lineage: Eukaryota; Viridiplantae; Streptophyta; Magnoliopsida; Malvales; Malvaceae. The record is from RNAcentral.
UUCAGUACCAUAAAUUCAGUAAUUUUUUUCUUCCCUAAGAAAAUCUACGUAUCAAACCCAAUCCCAAAACCACCAAUAACAAAGGAGCCUCGAGUUCCAUAUUAAAAUAUAAAUAUUUAAACAUCAAAACUCAGCCCCCACCUGUCAGCCUUAUCCAUUCCUUUUUAUAAAUUCUUCCCCGAGGAAAAUCAAAGUCAGCCCAUCAAUAACUUUUUCCUUACAGUUUUGAAAUAUUAGAUCAGAGAUUAAAAGAGAUGGCUGAUAUUGCUAUGCUUGUUGCUGAGGAAUAUGAAAGGAGGGUGAGGAUUUCAAGAAACAAAGUUGGGGUUGAAAAGCAACAAGAGUUGGGUUCUUGUGUAGGAGUGUUGGCUUUGAAGCUGAAGACCAAAAUUGGGCAUCCAAAACUUGAGGUUUUCAAAUUGGGUUUUGAGCCGAAAUCCCAGAUUGGUGUUGCAGCUUUCAAUGGGGCCUUUUCUGCUUGAUACAUUUUCCACUUCUUUCUUGCUUUUCUUCUUUUCAUAAUCAUUGCUUCUAAAGAGCUGUAAAUUAUUUUUUUAAAAUCUUUUCAUUUGUAAACCCUGGUCAUCGUUAAGAAGCAGAAUUUCUGUUUAUGAUUAUUUGAUCUUUUGUUCUAACUCGGAUUCAUGUGCUAUCUAUUUAUCUAAUUUCUUUUUUGUCUAAAUGUUGCAAUAAACAAUGAUUUGAUCUAUUUCAUAUCUGCCGACAGCUUAAUUGUUGUGGCUUGUGGUUAUAAUAUUAGGUGGUGGUACUCACAUUUAGGAUCAAACUCUAUGAACACCCCUCCCUUCUAAAAAAAACACUAUUUAAUAGGUUGGGAUGAAUUUAAUCUCUGUAUAAAAAAAAAGGAUAACUACAUCUAAAAUCACUCCUUAUGUUGUAUCACAUGUUCUUAUUGGGGAUUUCAACUAGGAAAGAGAUACCCAUUUGUUCUCACAAAACUUGUUUCAUCAUAUUGGCACUCGGCUUCAGAACAUCUUUUCCCCUUUUCUUAGGCCUUUUUAAGAAAGAAACCAUAAUGCGCUUGUGGUCCAAUUCAAUGGCCAAUUCCACAAACCCAAAGCUAUUAGGGAAGAGCCUACUCCAUUCCAUAUUCAUGAGGACCCUAUCAAGUUUUUCCCAAAUAUUUUGAUCCUUAGAAUGAAUAUCUCACCAAGUAAAAUCACCUCCAUAAUAUCCACAUCAAACAAAUAAUUUACAUUAACCCAUGUAUUAAAUUCAUCAACCAAGUAACUAGAAGGGUCUUUUAUUAAGGUAGUUAGUAUCGUAUCAGUGGAUAUAUCAAUUUUUUAUUAAUAUUAGAACAUACCGAUUCCAAUUUAUUUCAAUGCACCGUUUCAGAUUUAUUAAUAUUUUUAAAAACAUUUGAUAUAUAUAUAAAUAAAAAUAUUUACAAAAGUCAAAUAAUAAGAUUAAAUAAAUAUAAAAUAUUAUGUAAAUUUUAAAAUACCAAAAGAAAAAGAUACUCAUCAAUUAUAUAAAAUAUAAAUUAUUCCAUAAAUUAAACAAUAAAAUCAUCCCCUAUAAUUCUAUAACAAUUUAUAAUUCAAAAAAUUCAAAAUAAGUAAUAAAAAUGUAUUUAAAUUUAAAAUUAAUUUUUUUUACAAAUAAAUAAUAAAAAAUUAAUUUUAAAAUAUUUUUUAAAAUUAAAUGUUUUUGUACCAACUCAUAUACCAUAUUUUAUCUGGUACAAGCGAAAUCAAUCGAUAUGGAUUAAAAUUUACACUAAAACGGAACUUAAUUUUAUUUUUUUGAUUUACUAUUGGAAUGAAACGUUCUAACUAAUAUAAAUUAUACCGAAACUAUCCUCUACCAUAUUUCUCUUGGGACUUGAAAAUAUUAACAUCUCCUAUAGGCUUCCAUGCUUCAUCAUUUCUCCCACAAGCUAUCUCAUUCCAAAUAGUGAUUCUAUACAUAAAAAAAAAACAAAAAA